AUGUGCUGCUUUCCAGCUGGUAGCAGCAACUGUUCUGCUGCAGUCCGCCAAAAGGAAAAGAUGGUCUACAAAAUCCACUCCCAUGCCCAAAUCCAAGCCCUGCAGGCCCGCUCCGAUGAGCUGGGCCACUCCAAUGAGCACAUGCUUGUGAAGCUUGUCUCUCUGGAGUCGGUGCGCAUAGCGUGCGAGUCGUAUGAACUCCUCUGCCCGCUGAUGAUGGAGUCGUCCUGGAAAUGCCCGGAGCUGGAAAUCCUCUCGGUCGUGGCAGGCUUGUCGCUGGAAAUCCAAAAGCUCGAGCAUCAUCUGUUACCCCAGCUCAUGGUUCAGGAGGCCAAGCUGGAACGGGGCGCCCUGGAAGCCAUCCUACUCGUGAAGAACUCAGCAAUUAAGCUCUUACAUCUGAAUAAGUGCUUUAAGGAAGCCUUGGGCAUAUCUCGUUUCGAGGAGGAUCCGGUCACAAAUCAUGUCGAUCUGCUGAGCAUAUUGCUAAAGGAUAUGGCUGUUCCUGUACUUGAAAAUAAUUGCGGCGGUGACUGGCUAAAGCCGCGUGUCCCGAUGCUGGUCCAGCAGGUCACCCAUGUGUUGGAGAUCCCGGUUCGUUUCUGUUAUUCUGAUGAGUAG
This 621-nucleotide ribosomal RNA is filed under the name Triticum aestivum (bread wheat). Its description in RNAcentral is "partial small subunit ribosomal RNA". Lineage: Eukaryota; Viridiplantae; Streptophyta; Magnoliopsida; Poales; Poaceae. The record is from RNAcentral.